RNAcentral lists this ribosomal RNA (663 nucleotides) under uncultured bacterium. Its description in RNAcentral is "bacterial SSU rRNA". It matches the Rfam family "Bacterial small subunit ribosomal RNA", at positions 62 to 724 of the family's 1533-position model. The record is from RNAcentral.
UCGACGGUACAGGUCUUCGGAUGCUGACGAGUGGCGAACGGGUGAGUAAUACAUCGGAACGUGCCUAGUAGUGGGGGAUAACUACUCGAAAGAGUGGCUAAUACCGCAUGAGAUCUACGGAUGAAAGCAGGGGAUCGCAAGACCUUGUGCUACUAGAGCGGCCGAUGGCAGAUUAGGUAGUUGGUGGGAUAAAAGCUUACCAAGCCGACGAUCUGUAGCUGGUCUGAGAGGACGAUCAGCCACACUGGGACUGAGACACGGCCCAGACUCCUACGGGAGGCAGCAGUGGGGAAUUUUGGACAAUGGGCGCAAGCCUGAUCCAGCAAUGCCGCGUGCAGGAUGAAGGCCUUCGGGUUGUAAACUGCUUUUGUACGGAACGAAAAGCCCUGGGUUAAUACCCUGGGGUCAUGACGGUACCGUAAGAAUAAGCACCGGCUAACUACGUGCCAGCAGCCGCGGUAAUACGUAGGGUGCGAGCGUUAAUCGGAAUUACUGGGCGUAAAGCGUGCGCAGGCGGUUUUGUAAGACAGAGGUGAAAUCCCCGGGCUCAACCUGGGAACUGCCUUUGUGACUGCAAGGCUAGAGUACGGCAGAGGGGGAUGGAAUUCCGCGUGUAGCAGUGAAAUGCGUAGAUAUGCGGAGGAACACCGAUGGCGAAGGCAA